Mesocricetus auratus (golden hamster) is the source of this 522-nucleotide long non-coding RNA. RefSeq lists it as uncharacterized. Lineage: Eukaryota; Metazoa; Chordata; Mammalia; Rodentia; Cricetidae. The transcript is spliced from 3 exons. The record is from RefSeq and is a predicted model, not a curated record.
CAAAGUGCUGGUCCGUGGAGAGAAUGAAGGGGACCUGCCAGUUCCCGUCUGCAUGUAACUCACCACGUUCUACAGAGACAGCAGUACCUAGGGCAGCACAGACUCUACUCAACAGUCUACACAGAGAUGACAACAACCAGGUCUAGCUACUUGGCAGCCUGAGACAUAUAACCGUGAUCAUUCUCUUGGGUAUUUAUGUGACCAAGGCUUCAAAUUGCAAAUUGAGAAAUGAACAGCAGAAGGCAAAUUUACUACAAUCUCUUAAGCUAAUGAUGCUGAACAUUCUUUUCAUGGACUGCUCUGCCACAUGAGUGUCUGCCUGCCUGCUGUCUGACAGAGUCCUCGUCUCAGAAGACAGGAAAUGCAGACCUUUGUUCUCACUUCUGUGGUCAAAGACUGUCUCCAAAACCAAAACCGAGGGUGCUAGGAUCAAAGGUGUGCACCACUAUGCCUGCAACUAUUUUUAAAGAUAAAGUAACUCGAACUUCAACUUCAGAGACACAGGUGAUGUUAUAAGGUGGG